UUGCUUUGGCAACAGAUGUACUAAAACUGGAACGAUACAGAGAAGAUUAGCCUGGCCUCUAUGUAAGGAAGACACACAAAUUUGUGAAGCAUUCCAUAUUUUU
This is a small nuclear RNA of Equus asinus (donkey), 103 nucleotides long. Lineage: Eukaryota; Metazoa; Chordata; Mammalia; Perissodactyla; Equidae. The record is from Ensembl.